AAAACAUCUUUUCUUGUUAGUUUUUGAAGUAUGGCCUGCCCGCUGACAUUAAGUUGAAGGGCCGCGGUAUUUUGACCGUGCAAAGGUAGCAUAAUCAUUAGUUCUUUAAUUGUGAUCUGGAAUGAAUGGCUUGACGAGGCACGAGCUGUCUUAGUGUUGAAUAUUUUAUUGAAUUUGGUCUUUGAGUUAAAAUUCUUAGAUGUUUUUAUGGGACGAGAAGACCCUAUAGAGUUUGACAUAUUAGUUUAUUCAUUUAUUGGUUGUUUGUUUUAUUUAUUGGUGAGUGGGCUUUUUGUUUUGUUGGGGUGAUGAGAGGAAUGAUUUAACUCCUCUUGGUUUUGGUUAUAUUGAUUUAUAGUUGUUUGAUCCAUUUAUUUUGAUUAUAAGAUUAAAUUACCUUAGGGAUAACAGCGU
RNAcentral lists this ribosomal RNA (414 nucleotides) under Coptotermes michaelseni. Its description in RNAcentral is "partial 16S ribosomal RNA". Lineage: Eukaryota; Metazoa; Arthropoda; Insecta; Blattodea; Rhinotermitidae. The record is from RNAcentral.